This 445-nucleotide ribosomal RNA is filed under the name uncultured bacterium. Its description in RNAcentral is "bacterial SSU rRNA". It matches the Rfam family "Bacterial small subunit ribosomal RNA", at positions 32 to 485 of the family's 1533-position model. The record is from RNAcentral.
AAUCAACGCUGGCGGCGUGCCUCAGACAUGCGAGUCGAGCGAUUAAAGCUCUCUUCGGAGAGUGCAUAAAGUGGCGCACGGGUGAGUAACACGUAAGUAAUCUACCUUCGAGUGGGGAAUAACGUCCGGAAACGGACGCUAAUACCGCAUAAUGCAGCGGCAUCGCAAGAUGACAGUUGUUAAAGAUUUAUCGCUUGAAGAGGAGCUUGCGGCAGAUUGGCUAGUUGGUAAGGUAAUGGCUUACCAAGGCUACGAUCUGUAACCGGUCUAAGAGGACGGUCGGUCACACUGACACUGAAUAACGGGUCAGACUCCUACGGGAGGCAGCAGUCGGGAAUUUUGGGCAAUGGGCGAAAGCCUGACCCAGCAACGCCGCGUGAAGGAUGAAGUAUUUCGGUAUGUAAACUUCGAAAGAAUGGGAAGAAUAAAUGACGGUACCAUUUAU